GACGAACUCGCUCACCACAUUCGCCCAAGCCAGAGAACAAACGAGACACGCCAGGGCAAAUCAAGUCUUUCCCGAACAACGAUCAUUCAUUACGGCGGUCCGACCAAAGACCUUAUUCUCCCUUCAUCCGGAGCUGCCGUUACUUUUUCAUGGAAGCUCAAGCCAUAAAUCCUCAUUUUUCCACAACUCUAAACUCUAUAAAUCCAAACUUUCUGGCAAAAAUCUUUCCUCGAUCCCCAACUCGGGUUUCAUGUAAAAGUCCCAAUCUUUCGUUUGUUCCACAAUUUGGAACCUCUUUGAAGAAGGGUGUAAGUUUGAGAAGCAGCUGUUUUGUAAAAGCAAAGAUGGGUUGUGAUGGCGGUGACGAAUUGGGAGAAGGGGUCGGCAGGAAAAAGCUGGCUGUUUUUGUAUCCGGGGGUGGUUCGAAUUUUCGGUCUAUUCACGAGGCCAUUCUUGAUGGAAGAAUUAACGGGGAUAUUGCUGUUUUGGUGGCAAGUAAAGCUGAAUGUGGAGGUGCAAAUUAUGCAAGAAAGAAGGGAAUACCUGUCAUUGUAUUCCCUAAAACAAAAAGUGGAUCUGAAGGUUUAUCUCCACAUGAUCUCGCAAAUGCUCUGAGGAAGUGUAAAGUCGACAAUAUUCUGUUAGCUGGAUAUUUGAAGCUUAUACCAGCUGAGUUGAUUCGUGCUUAUCCGAAGUCCAUACUAAACAUCCAUCCCUCUCUUCUUCCAUCUUUUGGAGGUAAAGAUUACUAUGGCAUGAAGGUGCAUAGGGCUGUCAUUGCUUCUGGAGUAAGAUACUCAGGGCCCACAAUCCAUUUUGUUGAUGAACAUUAUGACACUGGACGUAUCCUUGCCCAGAGAGUCGUUCCAGUGCUUCCUACUGAUACGGCAGAGGAGCUGGCUGCAAGAGUUCUUCAAGAGGAACAUCAAGUAUAUGUGGAGAUAGCUGCAGCUUUGUGCGAAGAACGGAUUAUCUGGAGGGAAGAUGGAGUUCCUCUAAUCCGGAGCAAGGACGACCCUGAUAAGUACAGCUAGUGGAUCACAUUCUAUAUCAUCAAUUUUGCACAAAAAGAAGCUCGCGUCGCAUUUUUGCUUUUAAGCAUCAUGCAUCAGGUAGCAACCAGAUGGGAGCAUGGUAUACAUAAAAUUUCAACAUUGAUAAGGAGCCCUAGCCAAAUACUGCUGAUUAACAUGGAUGGCGAAAAGACAAUGAACUUUUUGUACUAGCAAACUGAAACAAGCACCUUUUGAGAACCGCUUGCUUGUUCAACAUUUAGAACUGGAAGCCUGCUCCCAUUCUGCUAAGGUUGGUCUUGAUACCAGAAUUUCUCCCAAAUAUGACUUUAGCUAAUGGUGGGAAGAUGGUUAGAGAAGUUGUGACUUGCACAGUUCUAAGUCCCAUAUUAAGGCCCAGUUUGGGGUUAAGCUUUUUGUGAGUUAACAUUUGUUUACCAAAUGAUAUCAAAACAAAAAUAGAGAAUUUGGACAAGUUUUGAGUUUGUAUUACUAUAAGGUACUCAAGAAAGCAUUCUAGCGCAUUUGUAUAACUUUCCCUGAAGGUCACUUCAGUAGCAUUUGGUAAUAUUCAAAAUCAGGACAUGCCACUUCCUUUUCCAACCCAAAUGCACUUGCCAAAAUAAACUUUCUGCAAAGUUAUGUCGUUUUUGUUUUCUAAUUUAUUAUUUUAGGGCUAGGCAAGUUAUACGGUAUGUAUUAAGGGAAGUUAUAAUUAUCUUUGGUUGUACUUUUAUUUGUGAUGUUGAGUACAUAUAGCUGGGGUGGCAAGUGAUAUAGGAAUCAUUAUAUAAUUCUA
This is an RNA transcript of Daucus carota subsp. sativus, 1812 nucleotides long. It is a transcript of the gene named phosphoribosylglycinamide formyltransferase, chloroplastic, with no coding region annotated. NCBI's taxonomy places the organism in Eukaryota, Viridiplantae, Streptophyta, Magnoliopsida, Apiales, Apiaceae. The record is from RefSeq and is a predicted model, not a curated record. The transcript has 7 exons.